UGGGGAAUAUUGGACAAUGGGCGAAAGCCUGAUCCAGCCAUGCCGCGUGUGUGAAGAAGGCCUUUUGGUUGUAAAGCACUUUAAGCGAGGAGGAGGCUACUAGUACUAAUACUACUGGAUAGUGGACGUUACUCGCAGAAUAAGCACCGGCUAACUCUGUGCCAGCAGCCGCGGUAAUACAGAGGGUGCGAGCGUUAAUCGGAUUUACUGGGCGUAAAGCGUGCGUAGGCGGCUAAUUGAGUCGGAUGUGAAAUCCCCGAGCUUAACUUGGGAAUUGCAUUCGAUACUGGUUAGCUAGAGUGUGGGAGAGGAUGGUAGAAUUCCAGGUGUAGCGGUGAAAUGCGUAGAGAUCUGGAGGAAUACCGAUGGCGAAGGCAGCCAUCUGGCCUAACACUGACGCUGAGGUACGAAAGCAUGGGGAGCAAACAGG
RNAcentral lists this ribosomal RNA (430 nucleotides) under Pseudomonadota bacterium. Its description in RNAcentral is "Proteobacteria bacterium partial 16S ribosomal RNA". It matches the Rfam family "Bacterial small subunit ribosomal RNA", at positions 355 to 776 of the family's 1533-position model. The record is from RNAcentral. Lineage: Bacteria; Pseudomonadati; Pseudomonadota.